Molecule: long non-coding RNA, 407 nt
Organism: Bos taurus (domestic cattle)
Lineage: Eukaryota; Metazoa; Chordata; Mammalia; Artiodactyla; Bovidae
Source: Ensembl
ACCCCCAAAAGACUCUGUAAAUCUGCUAUCAGCAAUUAUAAGGCACUCCUCCAAAAACCAGAUAUGCACUCUUGGUUAAGAACCAUAUCGUCAGACAAUACCUAGCCAAGGCCCAUGCCUGCCUUGGUCUUCAGCAAAUUCUUCGAGGAGUCAGAAGAGCUGAAGCAGAUCAGGCAGUAGCUGUGGAUGUGGCCACCGCCCCUCGCCAUCAAGGGAAAGCAGCAGAUAAGCGGUACCCACAGAACCUGUGACUCGAGUUCAAUCCCUGGUCGGGGAACUAAGCUUCCAAACGCCGGAGGGCAGCUGAAACCAUGCACCGCAACUACCAGCCCAGGCACUGGAAAGCCCACGCGAGAGCCUGCCCGCCUCAGUCAAAGUUCCUGCAAGUCAAAGCGAGGAUCCUGAGU